This 505-nucleotide ribosomal RNA is filed under the name uncultured bacterium. RNAcentral's name for it is "bacterial SSU rRNA". It matches the Rfam family "Bacterial small subunit ribosomal RNA", at positions 28 to 578 of the family's 1533-position model. The record is from RNAcentral.
AGCGAACGCUGGCGGCAGGCCUAACACAUGCAAGUCGAACGCUCGUAGCAAUACGAGAGUGGCAGACGGGUGAGUAACGCGUGGGAACGUGCCCUUCGGUUCGGAAUAACCCGGGGAAACUCGGGCUAAUACCGAAUACGUCCGUAAGGAGAAAGAUUUAUCGCCGAAGGAUCGGCCCGCGUCGGAUUAGCUAGUUGGUGAGGUAAUGGCUCACCAAGGCGAUGAUCCGUAGCUGGUCUGAGAGGACGAUCAGCCACACUGGGACUGAGACACGGCCCAGACUCCUACGGGAGGCAGCAGUGGGGAAUAUUGGACAAUGGGCGCAAGCCUGAUCCAGCCAUGCCGCGUGAGUGAUGAAGGCCUUAGGGUUGUAAAGCUCUUUUAGCGGGACGAUAAUGACGGUACCCGCAGAAAAAGCCCCGGCUAACUUCGUGCCACCAGCCGCGGUAAUACGAAGGGGGCUAGCGUUGCUCGGAAUCACUGGGCGUAAGGCGCACGUAGGUGG